This 1131-nucleotide long non-coding RNA is filed under the name Marmota monax (woodchuck). The record is from RNAcentral. Lineage: Eukaryota; Metazoa; Chordata; Mammalia; Rodentia; Sciuridae.
CCUAUGUCCAAACAUCACUCAGGAGCAAUAAUCAUUUAAUUGUGAUUUUUAGAUCAAAAAAGACUGGUUGAGCCGAGCACCGUGGCACACACUUGUAAUCCCCAGCAUCUCAGGAGGCUGAGACAGAAGGAUUGCAAGUUCAAAGCCAGCCUCAGCAAUGGCGAACUGCUAAGCAACUCAAUGAGAUUCUGGCUCUACAAAACAGGGCUAGGAAUGUGGCUCAGUAGUUGAGUGUUCAAUCCGCGGUACCCCCUUCCAAAAAAAAAAGCCUGGUUGGAAAUAGUUUGCAAAAAUCAUAUGAAAUAAAAUUAAGUAAACAAGGAAAUGAUGCAGUCAGGGAAAAUGGAAAAUAAGAUUUUAAAAAAUAAAGGGGAAAAUUAAAAAUUAAUACAAAUGUGCAAGCAGUUAAGGAAGAUGCAUUCUCUUAUGAGAGGAAUGACCAGUGUGGGAUUAGGGCCUGUGGAAAAAAAGUUACAAGGAGGGAGAACUCAGUCAGCAUCUGUGAGAUUGAAAACACAACACUUGUUCCCAAGAGAUGUUAGAGGGCCUUGCAGCUUCAGAGACCUUAAAGGUAAGUUUAACUCAUAUCAACCAGAAAUGUUCUCUCAUCUUUAAGAUAUAAUGAUGUAGGUAACUGCUAUCAGAGGAGUCCUUACCAUAGUCUUACCAUAGAGUCUCACCAUGCUUGGAACAGUAUUACAGAAGCCCCAGGCAGUCAACUGUUUUCAACCAUGAAUGAAUCUGGGAUCAAAACAAAACUACUUGGAAAGAGAUACUUGCUAUCGAAUCUGAUACGUGCUGGAACAGAGAAAAGGGUGGGUAGUAGUGGAAUUAUUCCUGGUGGUGGGGACUAGCAAGUGUGGAAACAUGGAAUUGGAGAAGUAGACAGCCCAGGCUCUCAAACAGAUUGCACAGUGAGUGACAGGGAAGAAUGGAAAAUAGGCCUGAAGAAAACUGCUGGAGCUGCACUGUAAUGAGGAGCAUAGUACACACCGAGGCAUCAGUGGCCACUCUUGACAUAUGUGGGUCAGGGAUGGGUGCCCAAUGGAGGGGUUUUUAAAAGGAAAGGGAUAUAUUAGACAUUUUUUAGCACAGUGACUAGAUGGAGUGUAGAGUUNGAUUGCAAAAGAC